GAACACCGAUAUGCUUCGGGGAGCUGUAAGCAAGCUUUGAUCCGGAGAUUUCCGAAUGGGGAAACCCACCACUCGUAAUGGAGUGGUAUCCAUAUCUGAAUUCAUAGGAUAUGAGAAGGCAGACCCGGGGAACUGAAACAUCUAAGUACCCGGAGGAAGAGAAAGCAAAUGCGAUUCCCUGAGUAGCGGCGAGCGAAACGGGAUYAGCCCAAACCAAGAGGCUUGCCUCUUGGGGUUGUAGGACACUCUGUACGGAGUUACAAAGGAACGAGGUAGAUGAAGAGGUCUGGAAAGGCCCGCCAUAGGAGGUAACAGCCCUGUAGUCAAAACUUCGUUCUCUCCUGAGUGGAUCCUGAGUACGGCGGAACACGUGAAAUUCCGUCGGAAUCCGGGAGGACCAUCUCCCAAGGCUAAAUACUCCCUAGUGACCGAUAGUGAACCAGUACCGUGAGGGAAAGGUGAAAAGCACCCCGGAAGGGGAGUGAAAGAGAUCCUGAAACCGUGUGCCUACAA
RNAcentral lists this ribosomal RNA (513 nucleotides) under Bacillus subtilis. RNAcentral's name for it is "bacterial LSU rRNA". It matches the Rfam family "Bacterial large subunit ribosomal RNA", at positions 63 to 569 of the family's 2925-position model. The record is from RNAcentral. Lineage: Bacteria; Bacillati; Bacillota; Bacilli; Caryophanales; Bacillaceae.